CUACGGGCGGCAGCAGUGAGGAAUAUUGCACAAUGGGGGGAACCCUGAUGCAGUAACGCCGCGUGGAGGAUGACGCAUUUCGGUGUGUAAACUCCUUUUAUAUGUCAAGAAAAUGACGGUAGCAUAUGAAUAAGCACCGGCUAACUCCGUGCCAGCAGCCGCGGUAAUACGGAGGGUGCAAGCGUUACUCGGAAUCACUGGGCGUAAAGGACGCGUAGGCGGGUUGGAAAGUCAGGUGUGAAAUCCUACAGCUUAACUGUAGAGCUGCACUUGAAACUUCUAAUCUAGAGUAUGGGAGGGGGAGAUGGAAUUAGUGGUGUAGGGGUAAAAUCCGUAGAUAUCACUAGGAAUACCUAAAGCGAAGGCGAUCUCCUGGAACAUUACUGACGCUAAGGCGUGAAAGCGUGGGGAGCAAACAGGAUUAGAUACCCUCGUAGUC
RNAcentral lists this ribosomal RNA (439 nucleotides) under uncultured bacterium. RNAcentral's name for it is "partial 16S ribosomal RNA". It matches the Rfam family "Bacterial small subunit ribosomal RNA", at positions 339 to 795 of the family's 1533-position model. The record is from RNAcentral.